CAUGUAAGCAUCACAAAGCAGUCUUCGUGCACAGCCUUGGAUUUUCCUGGAAUCCAGUGAGUGCAAUUCUUCUAGAGACAUCUUCAGGUAUCCAACUGAGGUGAAAUUCAGAAUUCACAAGUCAGCAGCUGCCAUGAAAUCAAUGUGCUAAGGAAAUCGUUGCUGAAAUCUAAACUACACAUACAAAAAUGUAAGAGAAAGUGAAGAGUGAACGAGAGGUUACCAUCCCGAUCCGCCAUG
This is a long non-coding RNA of Vidua chalybeata, 240 nucleotides long. RefSeq lists it as uncharacterized. Lineage: Eukaryota; Metazoa; Chordata; Aves; Passeriformes; Viduidae. The record is from RefSeq and is a predicted model, not a curated record. The transcript is spliced from 3 exons.